UGGGAUUAGAUACCCCACUAUGCUUAGCCCUAAACAUUGACAACUUAAUACACCCGUUGUCCGCCCGGGAACUACGAGCGCUAGCUUAAAACCCAAAGGACUUGGCGGUGCUUUAGAUCCACCUAGAGGAGCCUGUUCUAGAACCGAUAAUCCCCGUUAAACCUCACCCCUUCUUGCUCUAUCCGCCUAUAUACCGCCGUCGCAAGCUUACCCUUUGAAGGUCCAAUAGUAAGCAAAAUCGGCACUGCCCAGAACGUCAGGUCGAGGUGUAGCGAAUGAGGGGGGAAGAAAUGGGCUACAUUCCCUAACCCCAGGGAAUUACGAAUAAUCACGCUGAAACGCGUAUUUGAAGGAGGAUUUAGUAGUAAGCAUGAAAACAGA
RNAcentral lists this ribosomal RNA (381 nucleotides) under Sillago asiatica (Asian whiting). RNAcentral describes it as "partial small subunit ribosomal RNA". It matches the Rfam family "Bacterial small subunit ribosomal RNA", at positions 773 to 1353 of the family's 1533-position model. The record is from RNAcentral. Lineage: Eukaryota; Metazoa; Chordata; Actinopteri; Sillaginidae.